GCUAGUAAUCGUAGGUCAGCAUACUACGGUGAAUACGUUCCCGGGCCUUGUACACACCGCCCGUCAAACCAUGAGAGUUGGCAACACCCGAAGUCGGUAGUCUAACCGCAAGGAGGACGCCGCCGAAGGUGGGGUUNAUGAUUAGGGUUAAGUCGUAACAAGGUAAC
Molecule: ribosomal RNA, 167 nt
Filed under: uncultured bacterium
Lineage: Bacteria
Description: partial 16S ribosomal RNA
Rfam family: Bacterial small subunit ribosomal RNA
Source: RNAcentral